Dermacentor andersoni is the source of this 261-nucleotide long non-coding RNA. RefSeq lists it as uncharacterized. Lineage: Eukaryota; Metazoa; Arthropoda; Arachnida; Ixodida; Ixodidae. The record is from RefSeq and is a predicted model, not a curated record.
AGCUGGACGUGUAUUUUUGCCCACAUGCGAGAACAAGAACGGCACAAGUGUGUUCUGCAGAAAAGGCUCUCCAAAGAACAUCUGCUGCGAGUGCUUAACGGAAUAACAUGGAUCAUGACAAUGACAGAUCGUGCAUCUGUGAUGACGGUACUUUUAUGAUGGUGAUGGUGACCUAUCUUGGACGAUCCUUUUGAAGAAAUUAGAAGAAAUAAAUGUUUGGAAGCAUAGUUUGUUCAUAAAUAUAUUCGUUAUCUGGCACGA